GUUUGAUCCUGGCUCAGGAUGAACGCUGGCGGCGUGUCUAAGGCAUGCAAGUCGUUCGCUCAACUUCGCUUCGGCGGAGCUAGGCGAGGCAAACGGGAGAGUAAUACAUUGGUAAUCUACCCCGAAGACGAGGAUAACCCCGCGAAAGUGGGGAUAAUACUCGAUAAUAGUAAAGAACAAUAAGUUUUUUACUUAAAGUUUCGGCGCUUCGGGAGGAGCCUAUGUCCUAUCAGCUUGUUGGUAAGGUAAUUGCUUACCAAGGCUGCGAUGGGUAGCGGGGGUGAGAGCCCUGUCCGCCUCACUGGGACUGAGACACGGCCCAGACUCCUACGGGAGGCUGCAGUCAAGAAUCUUCCUCAAUGGCCGCAAGGCUGAAGGAGCGACGCCGCGUGCAUGAUGAAGCCCUUCGGGGUGUAAAAUGCUUUUAACCGGGAUGAACGAUGACAGUACCGGUUGAAUAAGGGGCUGCCAAUCUCGUGCCAGCAGCAGCGGUAAUACGAGAGCCCCAAGCGUUAUCCGGAUUUACUGGGCGUAAAGCGUUCGUAGGCGGUUUGCCACAUCUCCUGAUAAAUCUUUCGGCUUAACCGAAAGACUUUAGGAGAAAUGGGUAAACUAGAGCCGGAAGAGGCAAGCGGAAUUGCCGGUGUAGGGGUUAAAUCCGUAAGAUCGGCAAGAACACCAAUGCAAGGCAGCUUGCUAGGACGGUCUGACGCUGAUGAACGAAAGCGUGGGGAGCGAAAGGGAUUAGAUACCCCUGUAGUCCACGCCGUAAACAUUGGAUGCUAGGCAUGGGAGUUAUCGACCCUCUCAGUGCCGGUUUAGGUAACCCGUUAAGCAUCCCGCCUGGGGAGUACGAGCGCAAGCUUAAAACUCAAAGGAAUAGACGGGGACCCGCACAAGCGGUGGAGCACGUGGUUUAAUUCGAUAAUGAGCGAGGAACCUCACCAAGGCUUGACAUCCUGCUGCAUGCCCUGGAGACAGGGUUGCCUGCGAGGGCGCAGGACAGGCGCUGCAUGGUUGUCGUCAGCUCGUGUCGUGAGAUGUUCCGUUAAGUCGGGAAACGAGCGGAACCCCUGCCCUAAGUUUUACAUGUCUUGGGGGACUGCCCGCUAUAAGCGGGAGGAAGGAGGGGACGACGUCAAAUCAGCAUGGCCCUUAAGUCUUGGGCUACACACGUGCUACAAUGGGAAGUACAAAGGGACGCCAAGCCGCAAGGCGGAGCAAAUCCCUUAAAACUUUUCUCAGUGCGGAUUGGGGUCUGAAACUCGACCCCAUGAAGGUGGAAUCGCUAGUAAUCGUGGAUCAGUACGUCAAGGUGAAUACGUUCUCGGGUCUUGUACUCACCGCCCGUCACGUCAAGGGAGUCGGCAAUACCCGAAGUUCCUCUUUCGAGGGAUGAAGGUAGGGCUGGCGAUCGGGACGAAGUCGUAACAAGGUAGUCGU
Molecule: ribosomal RNA, 1443 nt
Filed under: uncultured Microgenomates group bacterium
Lineage: Bacteria
Description: uncultured Microgenomates bacterium 16S ribosomal RNA
Rfam family: Bacterial small subunit ribosomal RNA
Source: RNAcentral